AUGGAACUUUCCCUGCUAUCUUUCCAGCAACACCAUUACUCAUCCCAUGGGCAGAGUGGACUUUCUCAUCACUGCCAGUUUUGUGCUACCCGCUGGAAUCCUGCUCCUGGAUUGCCUCAUGAGGUUCCUGUUCAGAGAUGCAUGCUGGCGGGUUGCAAUACCACUGAGAAUGGAAGGUCCAGAGCUGCAGCAGGAGUAAGGAACUUGGAAAAUGCAACUGGUGCGGAAGAGCGAGCAAGGUCACUGGUGACAAGGCUCUGCUCCAUCUGUGCAGCCUUUUCUGCACCAUCCCACCUCUUUGCUUCUGAGGUCAAAUCCAAAGGAGAUGUUCUACAGAGUGAGCAGAGAGUGAGGAAGAUGCUCAGCAAAGAAGCAAGAGGUAUGUCUGUGGUGGAUGGGGGAUCUUAUGCAUGCAUUCAUUUGAAAUAUUGGAGUGUUUCUGAUGAAGUCCCAAAGGCACUUAACCCCAAGAACCUCAAAGACAAAAUCUUUCCACAAUAUGACUUUCCCUCAGCUAGCUUUGAGAAGAUAAAUGCUGGCAUUGAUACACGGGUCUGA
Long non-coding RNA from Phasianus colchicus (ring-necked pheasant), 558 nucleotides. Lineage: Eukaryota; Metazoa; Chordata; Aves; Galliformes; Phasianidae. The record is from Ensembl.